Oryza punctata is the source of this 204-nucleotide non-coding RNA. NCBI's taxonomy places the organism in Eukaryota, Viridiplantae, Streptophyta, Magnoliopsida, Poales, Poaceae. The record is from Rfam.
UUUAAGCACAAUUAUAAAUUUACGUGUUCAAUUUUGAUCAUUCGUCUUAUUUAAAUUUUUUUAUGAUUAGUACUUUUAUUAUUAAUAGAUAAUAAAACAUGAAUUAUACUUUUAUGCUUGACUUAUGUUUUUUAGUUUUUUAAUAAAAUUUCAAAUAAGAUGGACGAUUAAAAUUGAACACAGAAACUCAUGAUUGUGUUUAGG